This 85-nucleotide transfer RNA is filed under the name Corynebacterium halotolerans YIM 70093 = DSM 44683. RNAcentral's name for it is "tRNA-Ser (TGA) (tRNA-Ser-TGA-1-1)". It matches the Rfam family "tRNA". From Rfam's summary of the family: Transfer RNA (tRNA) molecules are approximately 80 nucleotides in length. Their secondary structure includes four short double-helical elements and three loops (D, anti-codon, and T loops). Further hydrogen bonds mediate the characteristic L-shaped molecular structure. tRNAs have two regions of fundamental functional importance: the anti-codon, which is responsible for specific mRNA codon recognition, and the 3' end, to which the tRNAs corresponding amino acid is attached (by aminoacyl-tRNA synthetases). tRNAs cope with the degeneracy of the genetic code in two manners: having more than one tRNA (with a specific anti-codon) for a particular amino acid; and 'wobble' base-pairing, i.e. permitting non-standard base-pairing at the 3rd anti-codon position. RNAcentral also lists the same sequence under 1 other name. Lineage: Bacteria; Bacillati; Actinomycetota; Actinomycetes; Mycobacteriales; Corynebacteriaceae. The record is from Rfam by way of RNAcentral.
GGAGGCGUGGCAGAGCGGCCGAAUGCACUGGUCUUGAAAACCAGCGAUGGGCAACCAUCCGCGGGUUCAAAUCCCGCCGCCUCCG